GUCAUCACUCUUUCUUUUGCAGAUAUACUAAUUCAUUUAAAAGUCUAAAUCUACUUAAUCUGCAAGAUAUCUAAGGCUCUGGACAUGUGAAAGUUUCCCUUUGGGAAACUGAGGAUAAUGCAGUAUGGAACCCUCUUUUGGGCAACACAAAGAAAGGCCAUUCUUUCUGUGAUGAUGGUGGUGCUCUUCAUUGCUGUGAUGGUGAUGGACCUCAGCCUUCAUCCCCACAUUCAGCUGGCUCAUCAGAGCCUGCAACUCUGGGCAGAGAAAUGAGGGUGCUGCUUUUAGCCCCAGAUCCUUUUCUUCUAUACCUCCCCCGCCCCCCACAACUGCCUCUGCCUUCAGGAAGCCUUCCAGAACUGUUCCACUUCUCCAAGAAUAUCUGGACUGAGUAUAGUACUCUUUUCAAGUGGCUAGUACUUAAUAAACGUUGGCUAAAAUUAAAUUGAGGACAUCCAAAGAUUGCAAUGGAGGGAGGAAGAGAGAUGGAGAGAGAGGUGUAUGAAAGGAACUGAAAAGUACAUUACCCUGUUUUCACAAUGACCAGGACAUGUUGGAUAUUUUAGCACCUUCUGGGCCUAUUUUUUCUUUUUCUUUUUUUAAUUAAAGUUAUUUUUAUUUUCAAAA
Antechinus flavipes (yellow-footed antechinus) is the source of this 627-nucleotide long non-coding RNA. RefSeq lists it as uncharacterized. Lineage: Eukaryota; Metazoa; Chordata; Mammalia; Dasyuromorphia; Dasyuridae. The record is from RefSeq and is a predicted model, not a curated record. The transcript is spliced from 2 exons.